This 1503-nucleotide ribosomal RNA is filed under the name Salmonella enterica subsp. enterica serovar Uganda. RNAcentral describes it as "bacterial SSU rRNA". It matches the Rfam family "Bacterial small subunit ribosomal RNA". Lineage: Bacteria; Pseudomonadati; Pseudomonadota; Gammaproteobacteria; Enterobacterales; Enterobacteriaceae. The record is from RNAcentral.
AGAGUUUGAUCCUGGCUCAGAUUGAACGCUGGCGGCAGGCCUAACACAUGCAAGUCGAACGGUAACAGGAAGCAGCUUGCUGCUUUGCUGACGAGUGGCGGACGGGUGAGUAAUGUCUGGGAAACUGCCUGAUGGAGGGGGAUAACUACUGGAAACGGUGGCUAAUACCGCAUAACGUCGCAAGACCAAAGAGGGGGACCUUCGGGCCUCUUGCCAUCAGAUGUGCCCAGAUGGGAUUAGCUAGUUGGUGAGGUAACGGCUCACCAAGGCGACGAUCCCUAGCUGGUCUGAGAGGAUGACCAGCCACACUGGAACUGAGACACGGUCCAGACUCCUACGGGAGGCAGCAGUGGGGAAUAUUGCACAAUGGGCGCAAGCCUGAUGCAGCCAUGCCGCGUGUAUGAAGAAGGCCUUCGGGUUGUAAAGUACUUUCAGCGGGGAGGAAGGUGUUGUGGUUAAUAACCGCAGCAAUUGACGUUACCCGCAGAAGAAGCACCGGCUAACUCCGUGCCAGCAGCCGCGGUAAUACGGAGGGUGCAAGCGUUAAUCGGAAUUACUGGGCGUAAAGCGCACGCAGGCGGUCUGUCAAGUCGGAUGUGAAAUCCCCGGGCUCAACCUGGGAACUGCAUUCGAAACUGGCAGGCUUGAGUCUUGUAGAGGGGGGUAGAAUUCCAGGUGUAGCGGUGAAAUGCGUAGAGAUCUGGAGGAAUACCGGUGGCGAAGGCGGCCCCCUGGACAAAGACUGACGCUCAGGUGCGAAAGCGUGGGGAGCAAACAGGAUUAGAUACCCUGGUAGUCCACGCCGUAAACGAUGUCUACUUGGAGGUUGUGCCCUUGAGGCGUGGCUUCCGGAGCUAACGCGUUAAGUAGACCGCCUGGGGAGUACGGCCGCAAGGUUAAAACUCAAAUGAAUUGACGGGGGCCCGCACAAGCGGUGGAGCAUGUGGUUUAAUUCGAUGCAACGCGAAGAACCUUACCUGGUCUUGACAUCCACGGAAGUUUUCAGAGAUGAGAAUGUGCCUUCGGGAACCGUGAGACAGGUGCUGCAUGGCUGUCGUCAGCUCGUGUUGUGAAAUGUUGGGUUAAGUCCCGCAACGAGCGCAACCCUUAUCCUUUGUUGCCAGCGGUCCGGCCGGGAACUCAAAGGAGACUGCCAGUGAUAAACUGGAGGAAGGUGGGGAUGACGUCAAGUCAUCAUGGCCCUUACGACCAGGGCUACACACGUGCUACAAUGGCGCAUACAAAGAGAAGCGACCUCGCGAGAGCAAGCGGACCUCAUAAAGUGCGUCGUAGUCCGGAUUGGAGUCUGCAACUCGACUCCAUGAAGUCGGAAUCGCUAGUAAUCGUGGAUCAGAAUGCCACGGUGAAUACGUUCCCGGGCCUUGUACACACCGCCCGUCACACCAUGGGAGUGGGUUGCAAAAGAAGUAGGUAGCUUAACCUUCGGGAGGGCGCUUACCACUUUGUGAUUCAUGACUGGGGUGAAGUCGUAACAAGGUAACC